RNAcentral lists this ribosomal RNA (203 nucleotides) under uncultured bacterium. Its description in RNAcentral is "partial 16S ribosomal RNA". It matches the Rfam family "Bacterial small subunit ribosomal RNA", at positions 1298 to 1500 of the family's 1533-position model. The record is from RNAcentral.
UUGCAGGCUGCAACUCGCCUGCAUGAAGUCGGAAUUGCUAGUAAUCGCAGAUCAGCAUGCUGCGGUGAAUACGUUCCCGGGCCUUGUACACACCGCCCGUCACACCAUGGGAGUCGGUAACACCCGAAGUCGGUAGCCUAACCGUAAGGAGGGCGCCGCCGAAGGUGGGAUUGAUGACUGGGGCGAAGUCGUAACAAGGUACC